Molecule: long non-coding RNA, 2730 nt
Organism: Mesocricetus auratus (golden hamster)
Lineage: Eukaryota; Metazoa; Chordata; Mammalia; Rodentia; Cricetidae
Exons: 2
Source: RefSeq, a predicted model, not a curated record
GUGAACCUACAAGGCUAAUGACAGGAUCUCCUGGCUAGAAACACCAUCCAGAAAAUGAAAAGGCUUCCCUAAGUCCAGAAUCCUGAAACAGUGUCAGUGGAGCUGGGUGGUUACAUGUAGCCCAUCCAUCCAGCCUGCUUCCCAGGACUGAUGAGGGGGUGAUAUAUAAACCUCUGUGGGCUUCAUUCCAUAAAUCAGCAGACACUCCCUGGUGUUUGCAUUGUUAACGGCAGCACCUAGCCCUCCAGUGUUGCUGCAGAGACUUGUCCUGAAGCUGCCUCCCCUCCUGGAACUGCCCAAGCCAGUUGGCAAAGGGAAGCAGGUUGCUGGGUGAUUAGGUCUGAAGCUCAUUUUAAAAUCAGAAGAAAAAAAAAGCCUGUCAGCAGAGAUGUAGGAUUGGUGUGCUGCUGAGCUCCUCCCAUCAGGUGACCUCUGAGUGGCCUCGGAUGGAAACUGACAGGACAGGGACUCACGGGCAAAAUGCAUAGCGCCUGGGAGCUGAGCACACUUCAGCCAACCUCAGCGAGUCCCAGACUGGGUUCUCCCAGCUGGUCCUCACUGUCUUGCUUCAUCCCACUCAAGAAAGGUGGUCCAUGAAAUGCUGAACUCUACUGAUCAAUGGCUUCAUGUGGUGGGAAGCAUCAUUUCCUCUGAAACUGACAGCAAUUCCAGGGUUCUAAAACAUUGUCCCUUACCCUCAUGGACACUUAGGAUUCAUAAUACAGAUGGGGAAGAGCGGUAGACCAGAAACAGACAGGGAAGUCAUCGCUGGACUGAAAGUUUAGACCUGCUUCACUCUGUGUGUGUGUGUGUAUACACGUGUAUGAGUGCGUAUGCACAUGUGUGCACCUGUAUGUGGAGGUGAGAGGACAACCUCUGAUACAAUUCCUGAGGCACCAUACACCUUUUCUUGGACAUUGAGUCUCUCACUGGCCUGGAAUCCACCAAAUAGCUUAGGCUGACUGGCCACUGGGAUCUACUUGUCUUGGUCUUCUUAGACCUGGGAUUACAUGACAUGAAUUGCCAUGCCCAGUGGUUUUUAUUUUGAUCUAUUUUAUCGUUUUGUUUAUGUGUAUCUGUGUUUUGCCUGCAUGUGUGUCUGGCUCUGUUUGCACACUUGAUAGCUGUGGAGGCCAGAAGAGGGCAUUGGAUCCCCUAGAACUGAAACUACAGACAGUUUUGAGCCACCAUGUGGGUGCCGAGAAUUGAACCUUGGUCCUCUGCAAGAGGAACAGGUCCUCCUAACAUCUCUCAGUGCCCUCCCCACCAUGUUUUGUUUAUUUGUUUGUUUUUCUUUUUCUUUUAAUAGGUUCUAGUGAUCAAACUCACAUCUUCAUUUUGCACAGUAAAGCACUUUACUGAGCUAUUCACCUGCCCAGUCUUACUGCUUUAUUUUUUACCACUCACCAUUUCAGUUGUGUUUCUAGUGAAGUUUCAUACCUGCAUAAAUACAUAUAGAUGACUUCAUUCUGUGACUAAAAUGUAAUAGUACAUUCCCAGCCUUCCCAACUUUCUAUGCGUCUUUUAUGUAUUGAGUUGUAUCCCCCAAAAUUCAUGUUAAAGUUCUAGAUUUCAGAACCAAGAUGACUUUAUUUGGUUAUGGGUUCUAUACAGGGGUAAUAAAAUUUUAAAAAAAGGUCAUUAGGGUUUGCCCUACUCCAGGUGACCUUAUAAAAAGAGGGAAACAGAGUAUAAAUGUCUGUAAUCCAAGUCCUUGGAAAGCAGAUGCAGGAAGAUUGGAAGCUCAAGGCUAUUGUGGGCUAUACAUCACUGCCCUGCCAUGGGGAGAAUAAUUAAAGUUUGUAGACAGACAUGUGAAGGAAGAAGUUAGCGCAAAUGUGAACUUGGUGAUCUACAAGCUAAGGAGAGAGCCCUAAAAAGACCCUUCCCUUAUAGUCCACAAUCAAAGGCAUUGAACAUGGAUGGACUCACAAUGAAUCCCUGUUGCCUCACCGCGGCAUUUGUGGCACUCUGUUACAACAGCCCAGGAAACUGGUGUCUAAUACCUUUAUCACCAGUCACGGCCUUUGACUGCAGCCUGGGAACUAUUCUGUGUUUUUCACUCUAUAGUUUCACAGGGUUCAGAAUGAAAUCACAGUCAUAUUGUAUGCAGCCUGAAUUUAGCUUCCUUCAUACAGCAUAAGUCUUUUGAGAUUCACCCACACAUUUUUUUCAGUGAUUUUCAUUGCUAAGAAGUACCCCAUUGUAUGGAUACAGAGUUUGUUUAUCCAUUCACCAGUUGAAGGACAUUUGGAUCAUGUCCAGGUUUUGGUUAUUGUAACUAAUGCUUCUGUAAAUGCUCAUGUAUGCAAUUUUUGGGUGUGAGUCCAUGUUUUGAUUUCUGUUGGGCAAAUACCUAGGGGUGGGAUCCCCAGAUGAUAUGAUAAGUGUAUGUGGAAAUUUGCAAGAAACUAUCCAGCCAUUUGCAAAGUUGCCAUUGCAUUCUUGUGUUUCUACCAGCAUUGGGCGAACACUUACUUGGUACAUGUCUUCAUGGUGCUCAGUUUGCUUGCUUGGGUUUUGCCAACCCACCAGGCAUGCGCAUCUAUCUCUCUGUGGUUUUAGAUUUCACUUUACUAAUGUGACAUCUCUUUACGUGUUUAUUUUCCACCCCUAUAACUUCUUUUGUGAACUAUCGAGUUAAGUCUUUCCUCACUUUUAAUUGGGUCAUUGACUUCAUUGAGUUUUGAGAAAAGUCCUUUAUCAAACAUGUUUUGUUAUUGUUUUCAA